This 311-nucleotide unclassified non-coding RNA is filed under the name Hevea brasiliensis (rubber tree). The record is from RNAcentral. Lineage: Eukaryota; Viridiplantae; Streptophyta; Magnoliopsida; Malpighiales; Euphorbiaceae.
GAGACGAAAAUGAAAGUGAGAUUACAGGUAAACAAAACACUAGCACAGCAUGAAACAAAACACUAUAGUUAGUAAUUGUUUUCACUAGUCAUUGCAGUUGCUCUCUAUCUCUCUCUCUGUCUCUCUGCUACCUUCGCUUACCAUAAUGUUAGAUUAAUCGGGUCGUGUAGGAACUUAUUUGAAGGUGUUGGAUCUGUUACCAUGCCUCAGCUGUGGGCAGUAACAGAUGUAUAUUGAAGGUUCUCUGUUGUAUCUAGUGAAGUUAUGCUAAAGCUUUGUUGUAUUUAAUUCAUGAUUAUGAACCAUAUUUA